This 1866-nucleotide unclassified non-coding RNA is filed under the name Zerene cesonia (dogface butterfly). Its description in RNAcentral is "pre-piRNA 3'-exonuclease trimmer-like, transcript variant X1". The record is from RNAcentral. Lineage: Eukaryota; Metazoa; Arthropoda; Insecta; Lepidoptera; Pieridae.
UGACACAUAAUGUUAUGUCAUUGUGAAAUGACUAAAUAUGCCAAAGUGACAAAAUCAAAACUGCUCAAAAUCAUAGAAUAUAAGUAAAAACUUAAAACCUUAAAAAAAUCGCUAAAAACUUCUUUCAACUUCAAGUAACAAAUUCAAACUUCGAAUCCAUGUUGAUAAGCUUAACUAAAGAAUAAUGGAAAUAACUAGAAAAAAUUUCCUUGGUGAACUGGAAAACAUACGGAAAAACAUCAAGCGUUCUAGCUUUAUAGGAUUUGAUGCCGAAUUUACUGCAAUAUUGGCUGGAGAAAAUUUCAAACACAGGCUGUUUGACACCAACGAAGAAAGGUAUGAUAAAAUAAAAAAUCUGGUUGGUAAAAUGCUGAUGACACAGGUCGGCUUAACCAUGUUUCAAUAUGAGCGAGACCUAGACAGCUAUGAAGCAGUGGGUUACACAUUUCAUUUAUGCCCACAAGUGUUUGCUGAUGUGGACCAAUCCUUCAUAUUCCAAGCCUCAACUUUGAAAUUUCUUUGUAAGCACAAUUUUGAUUUUAAUAAGUUUACGUACGAAGGACUUCCAUACUUAAGUAAAGCUGAGGAAGAAAAAAUAAGACAGCAGUUGAAAGAAAAACAGUUGUUUAGUAACUUGGCCCGUACAUUAGAAAUGGAUGAUGAAAAACAAUUGCAGCAUCACUGCUCUGAAGUAUCAAAAUGGUUGACAAAUAGUAAUGAAGGCACAAUGUACUUGGAUGUACAAGAUCCAAUUCUUAGGUAUAUGGUACACAAUGAGCUAAGGAUGCAUUUUGCUGAUAUUCUAACAACCGAUAGCUUAGGUAAUAGUAAUAAGGUUCUCAUAUACAGAGAUAAGUAUGUAGAGGGAGCAAACAGUGCUCCAAGGCAAAUACUUGAAGAUAACCUAAUGAAUUACCUUCUAGGAUUUUCACAAAUUAUAGACAUGUUGGAGACCUAUAAAAAGCCCAUUGUAGGUCAUAAUUUGUUUUUAGACACCAUUCUUCUGCACAGUCAGUUUAUAGGUCCAAUGCCAGAUAAAUAUACAACAUUUAAAAAAAAUAUUCACUCAUUAUUUCCGUUGAUUUUUGAUACAAAAUUCAUAUCUCAUGAAAUGGGUAAAAAACUGUCAUUUGACGAAGUUUGGAAAUCAAAUGCACUGCAAGACUUGUAUGAAUUCUUUUCUGAAGGAAAAUGCAAGAAGCUAGAAAACGGAGUUAACUUUAUUAGGCUGACUACGCCAUUUAAUGUGAAGCAGAGUUACCAUGAGGCAGGCUGGGACUCCUUUUGCUCAGGUUAUUGUUUCAUACGUUUGGGCCACUGGGCGGCCUGUGAACUGAUCGGAAAGUACCGACCGGUCGGACCCACGGAGAAAUUGUCCGCUUUGUCGCCAUAUUGCAAUAAAAUUAAUAUCAUUCGAGGAGCUAUGCUCUAUAUGAAUCUAGUCGACAACGACCCGCCAAAGCAUCGGCCAAACCUGCUCCAUAUAAAAUCUAUAAAGGAGAGCGCUAUAAACGUCGGAAAGGUGGCGUCAUCGCUGGCGAGUUUUGGCUCCGUGGACGUUAAACUUUACGGUAGGGGGACUGCACUAGUGGCGGCUAACUCGCAAUACACUGUCUUAUUUAUGAAGUUACUUGAAUAGAUUGACAUUUAAUUGGAUGUAUCAUCAACUUUAUGAUGAAUCUAUACUGGCUAAGCUCUUCCAGAUUUUUAUUGGAAUAGCUUUGUUUAAGUAUUUGAGUAUAAUCCAGCAACACGCGAAUAUAGAAGUGUAGAUAAAAUAUUGAAGCAAUUCAAAAACAGCCGAGACUACGCAAUAACUCCGUACAGCGCGAUCAGACACUCGGCCGCGGGGCGCAUGGCUUUAUG